AUGAAUGGCUCGACUCUCAAAGCUGGAGCUCCAAGCACGGCUCUGCGCGGGGCCUUCCCGCCAGGUGCACACGGGGCCCGGCGGGAAACCACAGUCCCGAGCACACGGGUCUCCCGCUCGCCAGUCACUGAAGGGCCGCGAAGGGCUGCGGAAUCCCCACUAAGAGCAGGCGCGCAGGCGCACAGUGCACCGAGUCCCGCGCGGCUCCGCGCACUGAGGACACGCCCCCGCGAGCGCGCUGACGUCAUCUGCCGAGGCAUGGUCACGUGGCCGCGCGGCGUCGGGGCGGGGCUACGCCAUGGCGUCAGCGAUGGUGGCGUGGGUGGCAUGGCUAUGGCGCUCUGGAGCGGAGCUGUCUUUAUCCGCUGCCAUCGAGGGGCGCAGGCGGUAUCCGCCGGUCCCGGGCUAAGAAGGCGGCAGCCGCGAACAGGUGCACGGCCCCGGGAGGCGAGAGGGCUGACCGCCGGCACGAUGCCCCGUCCUGGAACAGCCUCGGAACGCCCCGGGCCUGCCGUGGGGAAACGCGUCCCUGUGAGUCUGGCGUUCCUGUGGCCUUGA
This 558-nucleotide long non-coding RNA is filed under the name Oryctolagus cuniculus (rabbit). RNAcentral describes it as "lncRNA (ENSOCUG00000037215.1)". The record is from RNAcentral. Lineage: Eukaryota; Metazoa; Chordata; Mammalia; Lagomorpha; Leporidae.